Molecule: ribosomal RNA, 535 nt
Filed under: uncultured Acidobacteriota bacterium
Lineage: Bacteria; Pseudomonadati; Acidobacteriota
Description: bacterial SSU rRNA
Rfam family: Bacterial small subunit ribosomal RNA
Source: RNAcentral
AGAGUUUGAUCAUGGCUCAGAAUCAACGCUGGCGGCGUGCCUAACACAUGCAAGUCGAACGCGAAAGUGGAGCAAUCCAUGAGUAGAGUGGCAAACGGGUGAGUAACACGUGGGUGACCUGCCUUCGAGCGGGGGAUAACGUCCCGAAAGGGACGCUAAUACCGCAUAACAUCCUGCCUUUUAAGAGGUGGAGAUCAAAGCCGGGGAUCGCAAGACCUGGCACUUGAAGAGGGGCCCGCGCCUGAUUAGCUAGUUGGUGGGGUAAUGGCUCACCAAGGCAACGAUCAGUAUCCGGCCUGAGAGGGCGGACGGACACACUGGGACUGAGACACGGCCCAGACUCCUACGGGAGGCAGCAGUGGGGAAUUGUUCGCAAUGGGCGCAAGCCUGACGACGCAACGCCGCGUGGAGGAUGAAGACCUUCGGGUCGUAAACUCCUUUCGAUCGAGACGAAUGGUUUCCGGGUGAACAAUCCGGAGAAAUGACGGUACCGAGAGAAGAAGCCCCGGCUAACUCCGUGCCAGCAGCCGCGGUA